CUACGGGACGCUGCAGUGGGGAAUAUUGCACAAUGGAGGAAACUCUGAUGCAGCAACGCCGCGUGGAGGAUGACACUUUUCGGAGCGUAAACUCCUUUUAUAUAGGAAGAAGAUGACGGUACUAUAUGAAUAAGCGCCGGCUAACUCCGUGCCAGCAGCCGCGGUAAUACGGAGGGCGCAAGCGUUACUCGGAAUCACUGGGCGUAAAGAGCGUGUAGGCGGAUUAAAAAGUCAGAAGUGAAAUCCUAUAGCUUAACUAUAGAACUGCUUCUGAAACUCUUAAUCUAGAAUAUGGAAGAGGUAGAUGGAAUUUCUGGUGUAGGGGUAAAAUCCGUAGAGAUCAGAAGAAAUACCGAUUGCGAAGGCGAUCUACUAGAACAUUAUUGACGCUGAGACGCGAAAGCGUGGGGAGCAAACAGGAUUAGAUACCCCAUAGUC
RNAcentral lists this ribosomal RNA (438 nucleotides) under uncultured bacterium. RNAcentral's name for it is "partial 16S ribosomal RNA". It matches the Rfam family "Bacterial small subunit ribosomal RNA", at positions 339 to 795 of the family's 1533-position model. The record is from RNAcentral.